This 1245-nucleotide long non-coding RNA is filed under the name Cyanistes caeruleus (blue tit). RNAcentral describes it as "lncRNA (ENSCCEG00000016821.1)". The record is from RNAcentral. Lineage: Eukaryota; Metazoa; Chordata; Aves; Passeriformes; Paridae.
CUGGGGUUCACAGAAGAGGCUGGGUCAGCUGGCUGUGGUAAGCCCUCAUGGCUGGCUGCUGGGAUAACUGGAUACCAGCUUACAGCUUGUUCCCGUGCGCCUGCCAGGAAGCUCGAACACGUCAGCUGUGUAAGGUGGUCAACCCUGUGUCCAUGCCCUGCCUCCCUUGGACUGCGUGGGGGUGAGCACUGAGGAGAGGCUCUCAAGCAUAUUCCACAUUCACUGUAAGCCAAACCCCUUCUCCAUCUGCAUUACUAUGCACUGUCCUCUUUUGUAACAGUCCUUAUGCUCAGCCAAAAUGGCAGCAGCCACAAGAAAGAGAAAAGGGAAGGAGGGUGCUGAAGAGUAGUCACCCUCCCUGCUGUUCCUGGGCUGAAUAACUAAUAUUCUUUUUAUUUCUAUCACACUGCCUGUUAGCAGCACAGAUGGUAAAAAAUACCCCUGAAUGCGAAGGAGUGCAAAAUAAAGAUAUAACCAUGUGGAACCUAGACAGGCUGACUGUGUGGGGUAAGCAGAGUACAUUUGAAUACAGCUAAAUGGCAAAUCAUCCAUUGAAGAAGACAAAGCAUUGUGAAUACUUGCAGAAUAAGGGAACUUGUCCCAGCUAGCUCUGGGAAAUUGCGAGCUGUCCAUGGGACAUGGGGGCCACAACAGCUAAAGGAUGUCGUGAAAAUGGGCCUGCAUCCAGUGGUAAAGACGUUGCCACGUCUGUCUCUGACAUCAGUGCAAAUUCCAAAGUGCUCUAACGGUUUCUGAUGCCCAGUUCAAAAAGAUUUCAAAAAGAGUGCUGGUGAAUUAGAGGCAGAGCAGAGCUAGAAAUGAUUAACAGAUCAGAAAAUGACUUCUAGUAAAGAACUGCAGGAAUUCUGCCUCCAUGGAAACUUUAAAAUGGAGAGGGCUACUUUUCCAGCUGAGACCAUCCUCCUCCAGGCAUAAUACCUCCACAAGUAUCAGGAAUGUAUGGCUUCCUAAAGAAUCUAAAAUGAAAUUAUCAGAAGCAGUCAGAAGGAAAACUCCCUGCUGUUCCUGACCUGGAAAGAAUGCUGGGGCUGAAAUGCUAUUGCCAAAGGUUCCAACACAAAUAGCCGGGGGGAAAAGUCAACACCCCAGCAUGGAGGGAUGGGAAGGAGAACAGGAUGGGAUAGGUUGCUUCAAUAGCAAAGAAAAGAUUCAGCAGUACAGAGUUCUGUUCCAGUGAUUAAUGGAAAUGGCUUCUGAGUGAAGUGAAAAUAAAUAAAAUGCCAG